CCCGCCACGUGACUGGCGGCCGGGCGAGCCCGGUGCCCCGCGCCCCCCCCGUGCCACAGCUCUCGGACAGAGCAUCCCCGGCCGACCUCUAACCACGGGCUCCCGUCUUAGCGACUGGCAGAGAAAAGGGAAAAGGCGCCAAGGCCGGAUGGCGCGUGCUCCCAGGGGCCUGCCUGAGUCUGAGGUGUGGGGGACGAUGGGCGCACGGAGUCGGAGGGGAAGUGACUGGAAGAGGAGAGAUCUGAGCAGAAGUUGAAUGGGGCGCGGGUGUAUCUCGGACCCGGGAAAGGACGAGGGGCCGGAGGCUAAGAUUCCAGACUGUGCACUCGGAUGUGCUCGGAUUCCAAUCCCGGCCUUGCCACUGUAGUUAAGUGACGUCGGGGAAGUUACUCAAACCCUCCGGGCCUGUUUCCUCAUCCCUAAAAUGGCAACAGUAAUAAAACCGACCUUAUAGGCUUGUUAGGAGGUUUUGAUGAGACAAUUUAUGGAACUUGUUUACUACAGAGCCUGGCCUGUGACCUUUGAUGAAUGAUUUGUGUUCGGAAAGCCAGAUGUCAGGAAAGAAGGACAGUGCAUAACAGGAAGAGAUCAAAAGCAAUUCCAAGGUUCUUAGCAGGAAGAAUAGAAAGGAGGAAUGACUGGGGAAGAUGAUGAAAUAAUGCAGAGUGGAAGAUAUCCACAAGUGGAGGCAUUCACAAAUGGAGACACACAAAGAUGAAGCCUGAGGACUUUCCCAUGAAGCCAGGUCUCUAGGCAGCUGGUUGUUCCGUCUUCCUCCUGGCCCUUUUUUUUUUUGGCAUUCUACCCUCAACAGGAAAAGGAUAAAAAAAGGUUACUCUAUGCAUCCCAACUCAAGUGCCUGACAUCCCUUAGAAGUUUGAUUCUUGUGUUCAAAAUAUAUGUGGAGUUUGGUUCAAUUAAAUUUUAUGAUACCAGAAUUGUUGAAAGAAGUUAUUUUAUUAUUAUGUGUUUUUUUUUUGUGUUUCUUAUCUUAAGUAUUAGUGAUCUCUGUUUUUAACUCAAGUUUGGAAAAACAGGCUAUGAACUUUUCUCAGCCUUUGAUAACAAGGCUCCAGCUGAACUGCCAAAGGACGUAGCCUCAAAGAAACCAAGUAUUUUUUUUUCUUUAACAAUUUAACUUUCUACCUUUUUUCCUUCAAAAUGUAUCACUAUAAACUUUUUACAAACAGGGUCUGUUUCUUCUCUUUUAUCUUGCACAUUGCUUUGUGGAGACACACACGUAUGGUAAAUAAACAUUUGUGGAUUAUUAGCAAGUGGUAGCUGUCAGUAUAAUGAUGAUGAUGAUGAUAGCAGCUAACAGGCACUAUCAUAGCAUUUUAGAGUUAUUCAGUGUAAAACCUCUUUUACCUACAACAAAGCUGUCUUUAAUUCUCUGGCAAAACUCUUAAGAAUUUUUACUGCAAUAAAUUUCACAAUCCAGCCUUCACUUCCUUUUAUUGUUUUGGCUUCAAGAAGCUGUCACUUUUUUAGAUCCAUGCUUGUUGCCAAGGCUUGACCUGAACACACAACGGGUAGCUGCUUUGCUUGUCAUAGGACAUAAAGCAGUAGCAAAGCCUAAGGUAAUGUGGCACUUAGUAUAAACCCUUUGCAUUUUAUGUAAACCCUUGAUUCUAGCUUCACUGAAGUAGGAGACGUAAUAAAAAUGUUGACUUGAAAUCUACUCUACCUUUUGCAUCUUUCAGAAAAAUAUUGGUCUGAGCACCGGCUUCCUCACCAAAAUUGGCUCAAUUUAGAACAAAGUAGCAGUAGUUUUUUUUUCCCCCAAUUCAGACUUUCUGUCCUUGAAAAGGCAUUUCGCCUCAUACAAUUAUGAAAUUUCACAAUUUAGCAGUGAGAAAAGGACUGGUAAAGCCGCUAUGAAACAUGCUUGGGACCUGACAUUUUAGUAAUAAAUUGUGCAUUUUCUUCUGGAUCACAAGAGGUAUUUUUGCUGAUGAAUAAUAAUUCUCUGACAGAUUUAGGGGAUGAACGGUAAUGUGCCUUUGUUUACUUGGGAAUUUUUAAGGUACUAGCCUAGAACCAAUUUUAAAAAUGCCGAUCUUUGAUCAACCUGAGCUCUUUGCUUAGCUAUAUCACACUUCUGCCAUUUCUGAAGACAUUUGCCAGAAUUGGUCAUUUACAGCCUUAAAGUUUGCUACAGUAUUGGCAUAUCCAUUUUAGCAAUAUCCCUGAAUAUAUAUACAUGGAGAGAGAGAGACCUUGUGGGGCAAUGGUUAAGAGUUCAGCUACUACCCAAAAGUUCAGCAGUUCGAAUCCAUCGCCACUCCUUGGAAACCCUAUUGGGCAGUUCUACUCUGCCCUAUAGGGUCGCUAUGAGUCGGAACUGACUCAAUGGCAGUGGGUGUUGGGUUAUUAAAAAAAAAACCUCAAACCUGUUGCUGGUUAGCAGCUGUAGCUUUCAACCACUGCGCCACCAGGGUUCUCUCUCUCUCUCUCUCUCUAUACGUUUGAAGAUGUUUAUUCAUUCACCUCCUUUAUCCAUUUAUUCAUCCAUUCCAUAUUUAUUGAAUACCUACUAUGUGCAAUGCAGUUUCUCCAAUCUUACCCAACAUUGGGCUACUGUUAUGGUUUGAAUUAUGCUCCCCCCCAAAAUAUGUGUUGUAAAUCCUAAUCUCUAUGCCUGUGGUUAUAAUUCCAUUUGGGAAUGGAUUAUCUGUGUUUUGUUAAUGAAGCAAGAUUAGUGUAGGGUAUAUCCGGAGCAAUCUCUUUUGAGAUACAAAAGGAGAUUAAACAAUGGAGUAGAGAGAGAGGUGGAGAAAGACUGAUGCCAAGCCACAUGGAGAUCUCUAAGGAACUAGGAAACAGAAGCUGAAGAGACAAGGACCUUCUUCCAGAGCCGACAGAGAAAGACUUCCCCUGGAGCCAGCUUCCUGAAUUUAGGCUUCUAGCCUCCUCAACUGUGAGAUAACAAAUUUCUGUUUGUUAAAACCAUCUACUUGUGAUGUUUCUGUUAUAGCAAUACUAGACAACUAAGACAGCUACCAAUUAGUAAGAUUUUUUUAAUUCUGUUUUUAAGUUGUUCGUUCCCAUACGUGGAAUGAAUUUCAAAAAGUACUGAGGAAUAUACUGUAUAGUGAGAAGGAAAUCUCCUUGCAGCCCAGCUCCCUAGCCAUUCACCAACCCUCCCUAGUCAACCAAUGUUACCAGUAACAUUUUUAUGUGUUACUUUUAUAGCCUUCUAGAGAUACUCUAUGUGUGUGUAUAUAUAUAUAUAUAUAUAUAUAUAGUAAAAAAACAAAACCCAGUGCCCUCGAGUCGAUUCUGACUCAUAGCGACCCUGUAGGACAGAGUAGAACUGCCCCCUAGAGUUUCCAAUGAGCGCCUGGCCUAUUCGAACUGCUGACCCUUUGGUUAGCAGCGGGUUUAUAUAUAUAUACUAGCGUAUGGAAACCCUGGUGGUGUAGUGUAGCUACAGCUGCUAACCAAAAGGUCAGCAAUUGGAAUUCACCAGGUGCUCCUUGGAAACUCUAUAGACCCUGUCCUAUAGGGUCGCUAUGAGUCGGAAUCGACUCAGCCGCAACGGGGUUAUUAUAGUAGCAUACUGUAUAUACUAUUCUGCACCUCUUCUUUUUUCACUUAAUAUUAUCUACUGGUUAAGAUUUAUUGUUCCUUUGGUACAUUAAGGAGCCCUGGUGAUACAGUGGUUAAAGUGCUUGGCUGCUAACCAAAAGGUUGGCGAUUUGAACCCACUGGAGUUCUGCAGGAGAAAGCUGUGGCAGUCUGCCUCUGUAAGGAUUUACUGCCUUGGAAACCCUGUGCCGCAGUUCUACUCUGUCCUUACAGAGUUGCUAUGAGGUGGAAUCGACUUGAUGGCAAUGGGCCUAUUGGGUUUUGGUACAUUAGAUUAAUUUCAAUAUCAUAACUGACAUAUUUCAAUAUUAAAAUGCUAGCUUAAAAGAUGUCCCACACUGAAUUUCUGUUAAUGGUGGUGGAAUAAUUUGGAAAAGGAUAGUGGUAAUGGCUGCAUAAUAUGAUGGACAUAAUGUCAUUGAAUUAUACAUGUAAAAAUCAUUAGAAAAUAUUUUGUUAUAUUUAUUUUUACCACAAUUAAAAAAAAAAAGAAGAGGCCUUGAAGUGAUUUCCCAAAGGUCAAUAAGUAGUGUAUGUUACAGAAUCAAAAAAAAUUAUAAACUUGUACCUUUUCUCAAAAAAAAAAUUCUAUAGUUAUACACAUGAAACAAGAACCAAAAAAAAAAAAGAAAGAGAACAAUUAAGAGAGAGUAGUAAUAGAUACAUGGUCUGAGAAGAGUAGAUAUACACUCAGAAAAAGGUAAAGAGGCAAUAAUAAUUUGAGUGAAGAGCGUGUGCUUUGUUAUUCCAUACGUGACCAACAUGUUGCAAGUUGUUUUUUGAGUGAUCAGCUAUCAAUAAUAACCUGCUCAUCCAGUGAGUCAGAGCCCAGCAGGGGAGUUUGUGGGUCUAAAGUGUUUCCUGCUUAGGUGUUCUGCUAAAGGCUCUAAAGAGCACCACAUUUGUCAGGACCACUGAAAACUUGUUUUUGUUUUUUUAAAGUUCUAAGGAAGGUCACCAAUCCCAGGAUGUUCACCUUUUAUUUACCUAGAUUUCCACCCACAGAAUCCAAGGAAUGAAAUUGUAGGGACAUAUCGAGAAAUGUAAAUCCUUUGUUUUGCCACCAUAAUUUUGACAUACGUACUCUAAUAAGCUUUAUAUAUAAAAUUUGGAUUCCUGCAAUGUGCUAAUGUUCUUCCAAUUUAUCCAAAAUUGAUCUA
Long non-coding RNA from Loxodonta africana (African savanna elephant), 4751 nucleotides. RefSeq lists it as uncharacterized. Lineage: Eukaryota; Metazoa; Chordata; Mammalia; Proboscidea; Elephantidae. The transcript has 3 exons. The record is from RefSeq and is a predicted model, not a curated record.